RNAcentral lists this ribosomal RNA (406 nucleotides) under uncultured bacterium. RNAcentral's name for it is "partial 16S ribosomal RNA". It matches the Rfam family "Bacterial small subunit ribosomal RNA", at positions 30 to 526 of the family's 1533-position model. The record is from RNAcentral.
AUUGAACGCUGGCGGCAGGCCUAACACCUGCAAGUCGAACGAGUGGCGGACGGGUGAGUAAUUUCUGGGAAACUGCCUGAUGGAGGGGGCUGACUUCUGGAAACGGUAGCUAAUACCGCAUAACAUCCGAUGUGCCCAAAUGGGAUUAGCUGGUGGGUGUGGUAACGGCGCACCAAGGCGACGAUCCCUAGCUGGUCUGAGAGGAUGACCAGCCACACUGGAACUGAGACACGGUCCAGACUCCUACGGGAGGCAGCAGUGGGGAAUAUUGCGCAAUGGGCGAAAGCCUGAUGCAGCCAUGCCGCGUGUAUGAAGAAGGCUUUCGGGUUGUAAAGUACUUUCAGCAGGGAAGCGUUACCCGCAGAGAAAGCACCGGCUAACUCCGUGCCAGCAGCCGCGGUAAUAC